Biomphalaria pfeifferi is the source of this 407-nucleotide non-coding RNA. The record is from the annotation of a GenBank genome assembly. Lineage: Eukaryota; Metazoa; Mollusca; Gastropoda; Planorbidae.
AGUUUGUCUUAGACUAAGAAUUAUGGGUAAGAAUGAAAGUCAGGCUGGGUUUGUCUGCUGGGUAGGAACAUGUUAAAGUGGAGGUUCUUGUUUUUACUGAAAAAGGAUAUUUUGUGUGCAGUGAUCUAGUUAUUGAAAAAAAGAAAUAUUUAUUUUAAAGUAAAUAAACAUAUGUUUUUGUAAUUCUGGUGAAAAUGGUUCUGUGAAUUUCAGUAUUUUUAGGGUGCACCAGAAUUCGUCCAACUAUACAGGGUAUCUGACAUUAGUUAGGGAAAAGUAAAACCGUAGGUCGUGAUGGCCAACUGACACCAUAAAUAAUGGUUGGUCACAGAAAAGAUGACCUUUACAUCGUCUUCCUCUUAGAAGGGUACUUCACUUACCGGUACUUUUUUUUUUUUUUUUUAAAA